GCUCUGGUGGUGCAACUGGUCAGCACGCCCUCACCAAAAACAUUAAAAACUUGUAAAAUCGCAGGGAGACUUGGGUUCAAACCCCAACCAGAGCA
RNAcentral lists this transfer RNA (95 nucleotides) under Morchella conica CCBAS932. Its description in RNAcentral is "tRNA-Gly". Lineage: Eukaryota; Fungi; Ascomycota; Pezizomycetes; Pezizales; Morchellaceae. The record is from RNAcentral.